AUAAAAUAAACACAAUAGAAUCUCUAAUAGAUAGUUAUGUGAUAUAAU
Molecule: non-coding RNA, 48 nt
Filed under: Trypanosoma brucei brucei
Lineage: Eukaryota; Euglenozoa; Kinetoplastea; Trypanosomatida; Trypanosomatidae
Source: RNAcentral